GAAGGAAGCAGGAUAACCAGUGGAGUGACGGGACAUGAGAAGGACUCAACUGGCCAUUGCUGGUUUUGAAGAUGGAGGAGGGGCCACGAGCCAAGGACUGGGGUGCCUCCAGAA
This is a non-coding RNA of Ceratotherium simum simum (southern white rhinoceros), 114 nucleotides long. The record is from RefSeq and is a predicted model, not a curated record. NCBI's taxonomy places the organism in Eukaryota, Metazoa, Chordata, Mammalia, Perissodactyla, Rhinocerotidae.